UACGAAGGGGGCUAGCGUUGCUCGGAAUCACUGGGCGUAAAGGGUGCGUAGGCGGGUCUUUAAGUCAGGGGUGAAAUCCUGGAGCUCAACUCCAGAACUGCCUUUGAUACUGGAAAGCUUGAGUUCGGGAGAGGUGAGUGGAACUGCGAGUGUAGAGGUGAAAUUCGUAGAUAUUCGCAAGAACACCAGUGGCGAAGGCGGCUCACUGGCCCGGUACUGACGCUGAGGUGCAAAAGCGUGGGGAGCAAACAGG
RNAcentral lists this ribosomal RNA (253 nucleotides) under uncultured bacterium. RNAcentral's name for it is "partial 16S ribosomal RNA". It matches the Rfam family "Bacterial small subunit ribosomal RNA", at positions 524 to 776 of the family's 1533-position model. The record is from RNAcentral.